RNAcentral lists this long non-coding RNA (247 nucleotides) under Vombatus ursinus (common wombat). RNAcentral's name for it is "lncRNA (ENSVURG00010006481.1)". Lineage: Eukaryota; Metazoa; Chordata; Mammalia; Diprotodontia; Vombatidae. The record is from RNAcentral.
GCCAGAUACUCUGGCUUAGCUAAAAAGCCAUGUAGGAUAUCUGGUCUUUGAAAACCAUUUUUGAGGCAUCUGAGGUUAAACUUGGAGAGAAACACUUGUAAUAUUUCAAUAUUAGUAGCAGUCUAUUGUAGCAUCAUGCUACAUGGGAAGAUUCUCUGGAGGGUCAUUCCUAGACUUGUGAAGUUAUCUUUUAAAGGUCAUCAUCUUUUCCAGCAACAUUGACGUGAUUUCAAAGGACCUGUGCAAG